GAUGAACGCUGGCGGCGUGCCUAAUACAUGCAAGUCGAGCGAACGGACGAGAAGCUUGCUUCUCUGAUGUUAGCGGCGGACGGGUGAGUAACACGUGGAUAACCUACCUAUAAGACUGGGAUAACUUCGGGAAACCGGAGCUAAUACCGGAUAAUAUUUUGAACCGCAUGGUUCAAAAGUGAAAGACGGUCUUGCUGUCACUUAUAGAUGGAUCCGCGCUGCAUUAGCUAGCUGGUAAGGUAACGGCUUACCAAGGCAACGAUGCAUAGCCGACCUGAGAGGGUGAUCGGCCACACUGGAACUGAGACACGGUCCAGACUCCUACGGGAGGCAGCAGUAGGGAAUCUUCCGCAAUGGGCGAAAGCCUGACGGAGCAACGCCGCGUGAGUGAUGAAGGUCUUCGGAUCGUAAAACUCUGUUAUUAGGGAAGAACAUAUGUGUAAGUAACUGUGCACAUCUUGACGGUACCUAAUCAGAAAGCCACGGCUAACUACGUG
RNAcentral lists this ribosomal RNA (497 nucleotides) under uncultured bacterium. RNAcentral's name for it is "partial 16S ribosomal RNA". It matches the Rfam family "Bacterial small subunit ribosomal RNA", at positions 28 to 507 of the family's 1533-position model. The record is from RNAcentral.